RNAcentral lists this ribosomal RNA (253 nucleotides) under uncultured bacterium. RNAcentral describes it as "partial 16S ribosomal RNA". It matches the Rfam family "Bacterial small subunit ribosomal RNA", at positions 524 to 776 of the family's 1533-position model. The record is from RNAcentral.
UACGUAGGGUGCAAGCGUUAAUCGGAAUUACUGGGCGUAAAGCGUGCGCAGGCGGCUUUGCAAGACAGAUGUGAAAUCCCCGGGCUCAACCUGGGAACUGCAUUUGUGACUGCAAGGCUAGAGUACGGCAGAGGGGGAUGGAAUUCCGCGUGUAGCAGUGAAAUGCGUAGAUAUGCGGAGGAACACCAAUGGCGAAGGCAAUCCCCUGGGCCUGUACUGACGCUCAUGCACGAAAGCAUGGGUAGCGAACAGG